This 2081-nucleotide long non-coding RNA is filed under the name Bemisia tabaci. RNAcentral's name for it is "lncRNA ENSSSA3NGG005364". The record is from RNAcentral. Lineage: Eukaryota; Metazoa; Arthropoda; Insecta; Hemiptera; Aleyrodidae.
CCGUUGGGGCUGGUUUCAGCUUCGCAGAUUCGGAAUCGGGUUAUCCCUCGGACCUUGCCGCUGAAACGAAAGACCUCUACGAAGCUCUCGUGCAAUUUUACAAACUCUUCCCAGCUCUAAAAAUAACAAACUGAUUUUAGCAGGCGACUCGUACGGAAUGAAGUUUGCACUAGCAGUUUCGGUAGAAAUUCAAAUUCACGUAAAGUUCCUGUCAACAAGGGGAAGGAAGUCAAAAUCCUGUUCCGAUUCCUGCGGGUAUAUUAGCUUUGAGUGGUUGGGUGGAUCCAACACUUUCCACAAGGUAUUCGUCGUACCUCAGAGGGAUUGGGCUACUGGAUCGAGAACAGUCCCGAUACUAUGAGUCUCUCGAAGAGACAAUGCGAGCAGAAAUGAAGUCGGACAAUUACUUGGAGGCCUAUCGGAUCUGGAGGCAGGAGAUGCGCGGAAUUUUGAAUGAAACCGGACUCAAGACAGGCCUGAAUUUUAUUCUCGACUCGGAGGGAGGAGCAACUUGGAAAGAGCCCAUACUCCGAUUCUUAAAUCGUACCGACGUCCGCAAGGCCAUACACGUCGGGAAUCAUAAAAUAAACCCAAAUGAAGCGGUGCGGUCUCGAAUGGCCGGCGACUGGAUGCGAUCCGCAAGACCCCUGCUAGAGCGCCUCCUAGUGGCCGAGCUCUGCCAAUAGUGUUCCUGGCCGGGCAAGUGGACGUCAUAAACCCGUACAUCUUCCAAUCGGAGGUUCUCGCCGCGCUGAAGUGGCCGCACGCCGAGGAGUACCGCGACGCCAAGAGGUGUCGCUUCCAAGUCGGGGGCCGGGUUGCAGCUUACACGAGGACAGCGGGAACUUUGACCGAGGUCCUGGUCCGCAACACCGGGCACAUGAUCCCGUGCUUUCAACCUGAGUGGGCCUAUGCACUCCUCAACACCCUCGUCACGAACGUCACGAAAUUUCAAUGUGAUGGAUGAAUCGGCGCCUCAUGAUGAGAGCUGCAAAAUAAAAUUUCAUGGGAGGUUUAGGGGCUUGGACGACAAGGCGCAUGUAAGUGCAGUUUUUGAAAAAUUGAGAUAUUCAUGAACUCGACUGAAACUCGUUUGAAAGUAUAUCGAUGGUGAAACUGCAAAAAUGCGUAUAUCGGUUGCGGUGUUUGAAAAUCUCCGCUCUUAUUUUAUUUUUUGAAAGGAAACCGAACCAACAUCGUGGCUUGAAAUUUUCACAGAAUAUUCUUCACAUAGAGAAGAAAAAUAUCCGAAGUGCUCAAUAAAUGAUGCUAAGUGGUUUUCCAUAUGAAAAUAAAGUAUGACAGGAAGUCUGCAACGCCGCAAACCGAUAUACGCAUUUCUGCAGUUUCACCAUCGAUAUUCUGUGAAAAAUUCACAGCUAAAAUCCAUAAUUUGUAAGCAUCAAAAAGUGAGUUCAACCUUCCUUUUUGCCACAUGUAAUUUUGAAACUUUAAACACGUAGUCCUUGAAAUAGCACGAACUGCAUUGAUGCGCUUUCGUCCUCCAAGCCCCCUCAUUUUAUUUCGCUUAAAAAUGAAAUUUUAUUUUUCAAUUUUUUUUAAUAGAAAUUUCAUUUGAGUAAAACAUAAUUACUACAAGAAUAUGUCUUGUAUCUAUCUACGAGUACAUCAUUUAAGUAAACUAAAUCAAUUUCAUUAAAUACACAAAGUAACGUUGGGGAAUAAAAUCAAUAUCUCACAAAAUUUAAAAGAUUUUUCAGGGUCUGCGUUUGCAACCUGCAACAAUCACAAGAAUUCAUUACCUAAUUAACUUCAACAUUUGAUUCGUUGUUUACAAAAAGUCAAAAUUAAAAUCUGACUGUAUUAAUGUCAAUGGCCAAAGUGCGAAGCCACGUUUUUGUGCGGUGUUUCAAAAUUUCCGUCCCUAUUUUGUUUUUAGCUCCUUUUUUUAAGGAAAAACGAACCAACUUUACACUUAGCUUCAAGAUUAUGAAAGUGCAGAAGUGCGUACCUCGGAAAACACGAUUUUCCAGGAGAGUACUUAGAAAAACUGUCUACACUCCUCUUUAUUGUUGUUGGAAGAGUAAUAAUUCUUGAGGAUAACAAGGUUAAGAUGCUUU